This 659-nucleotide long non-coding RNA is filed under the name Nicotiana tabacum (common tobacco). RNAcentral's name for it is "long non-coding RNA (NTAB_LNC007146)". Lineage: Eukaryota; Viridiplantae; Streptophyta; Magnoliopsida; Solanales; Solanaceae. The record is from RNAcentral.
AUUUAUAUGUUAUCCUACGGCUCUUGAUUUGCUUAUAUUUCUCAAGAGUCAAGAGAAGCAAAAGUAAAUAAUAAAAUAUGGUGGCUCAAUACAACGUUGUUGAUGGUGGUUACAGGCUUCGGGUGAUGUUUGGCAUGAUUGUUGCGUCUCUAGCAGUAAUGUCUAUAGUCAUCUUCAAUUGUGGAGAGUCCAGUGAGGACAAGCACAAGUCUCACACUGCUCAUAACGCUAGAACUCAUGGUGCUGCAGCUGCUGCGGGAAUCGCUGCUGCGAACGCCUCCGUGUUAGCUGCUAGCAGCGCCAGCGAUGCGACCGGAGGAGGAGGAGGAGGAGGAGGAGGAGGAGGAGGAGGUGGAGGUGGAUGUUAAACAUCUCAAGGGAGGACGUAUACUAUUUACAUGGUUCACUUGCUUAUGUUUCACUUAAUGUUGUGUUUGUGUCUUCUGUUAUUCUAUGGCUAUGAAUUGCACAUUAAUUUCUGUGUAUCGACUUGCUUUUUAUUCGGGGACCGUUUGAGCUUAGUUCUCGCAGCUGUCUUUUUAGUUGGGAAAUUCUCAUAAUUUCCUUACAGCUUGUUUGGAUGGCUGUUACGUGUUCAUUGUUAUUAAAAUUUUAUUGUAUAAUAUCGUUAAAUUCGUUGUUGUGUAACGAAAAGUGUC